Molecule: non-coding RNA, 99 nt
Organism: Acanthosepion pharaonis
Lineage: Eukaryota; Metazoa; Mollusca; Cephalopoda; Sepiida; Sepiidae
Source: the annotation of a GenBank genome assembly
GUUGAAACACCGAUUCCCGUACGUUCAUCGAAGUUAAGCAGCAUCGAGAUUGGUCAAUACCUAGAUGGGUGAACGCUUGGGAAUACCAGGUGCUGUAAG